ACUAUUUUAUGUGUAACAAAGGUGUCCGCCAAGGUGAAAACUUAUCCCCUAUAUUAUUUGCAUUAUAUUUGAAUGACCUAGAACACUUUUUGGAAGACAAAAGCCUGCGGGGGCUUGAGAGUAUUUCUGAGGAAAUGGAGUCCAAGCUUCAAAUUUAUCUAAAAAUGUUUGUAAUCCUUUAUGCAGACGACACAGUACUAUUGGCAGAAAGUGCUGAUGAUUUACAGAAACAGCUGGAUUCUUUCAGUGAAUACUGUAAUGUUUGGAAGCUUAAAGUUAACGUCACGAAAACUAAAGUGAUGAUUUUUUCUAGAGGCAGAAUGCCGUCAAAAUUGCAUUUUGAUAUAGACGGCACGGACAUUGAAAUUGUUAAAGAAUUUAACUAUUUAGGCAUAUUAUUAUCUAGAACUGGUAAUACUAAAAUAGCACAGAAACACUUAGCAGAAAAAGCAACAAAAGCUAUGUUUAAUGUGUUGAAAGCAGGCCGCAUGCAUAAUCUUUCUAUUCAAUGUCACUUAGAUCUUUUUGAUAAAGUUGUGAAACCCAUACUUUUGUAUGGAUGUGAAAUUUGGGGGCAUGGUAAUGUUGAAAUUAUAGAAAGAAUCCAUCUGAAAUUCUGUAAACUUCUUUUGAAACUGAAAAAUUCCACACCUAACUAUAUGGUAUACGGUGAACUUGGUAGAUAUCCUUUGGACAUUGAUAUUAAAAUAAAAAUAGUGUCAUAUUGGUGUAAGUUAUUAUCCGCUAAAGAGACUAAGCUAUCUUCUAUCGCAUAUAGACUAUUAAAAACACUAUUUACUGUGAAUAAUGUAUGUACA
This 818-nucleotide long non-coding RNA is filed under the name Mytilus galloprovincialis (Mediterranean mussel). The record is from RNAcentral. Lineage: Eukaryota; Metazoa; Mollusca; Bivalvia; Mytilida; Mytilidae.